RNAcentral lists this unclassified non-coding RNA (259 nucleotides) under Hevea brasiliensis (rubber tree). Lineage: Eukaryota; Viridiplantae; Streptophyta; Magnoliopsida; Malpighiales; Euphorbiaceae. The record is from RNAcentral.
GUCGGAGCAGAGGAAUCCGUUUUAAUCGCCGACUGAUCCAUAAUCUGAGCAGAACUCGCCAAAAUCUUCCCUCUCGUCGACCUCGAACUCAACCCAGAAAACCCAUUUCGAUUGAACUCAACCCCAGUUGAAGAAGAACGGAGAUGAACCGAAUUGCGAUUGCGGAUCGGGAAAAAGCAGCCGACGGCGGCGGAUUUGAAGAGUGGGGAUUUGACGAUAAGGUCAGUGGCAGGGGAAAGACAGAGAGAAUUGGGGACGG